Molecule: ribosomal RNA, 484 nt
Filed under: uncultured bacterium
Lineage: Bacteria
Description: partial 16S ribosomal RNA
Rfam family: Bacterial small subunit ribosomal RNA
Source: RNAcentral
AUUGAACGCUGGCGGCAGGCCUAACACAUGCAAGUCGAGCGGAUGAAGGGAGCUUGCUCCUGGAUUCAGCGGCGGACGGGUGAGUAAUGCCUAGGAAUCUGCCUGGUAGUGGGGGAUAACGUCCGGAAACGGGCGCUAAUACCGCAUACGUCCUGAGGGAGAAAGUGUGGGAUCUUCGGACCUCACGCUAUCAGAUGAGCCUAGGUCGGAUUAGCUAGUUGGUGGGGUAAAGGCCUACCAAGGCGACGAUCCGUAACUGGUCUGAGAGGAUGAUCAGUCACACUGGAACUGAGACACGGUCCAGACUCCUACGGGAGGCAGCAGUGGGGAAUAUUGGACAAUGGGCGAAAGCCUGAUCCAGCCAUGCCGCGUGUGUGAAGAAGGUCUUCGGAUUGUAAAGCACUUUAAGUUGGGAGGAAGGGCAGUAAGCUAAUACCUUGCUGUUUUGACGUUACCAACAGAAUAAGCACCGGCUAACCUCGUG